UAUCUUAUCUAAGAAAAAUAGACAAUAUGCAGUGAGCGUUAAUCCCAUGUACCAGCUCGUGGAUAAAGAAAUCAUUGCAUUGUGGUUUCUGGGCAUCAAACCUCAGAAAAUGUUUGCCAGCCCCUGCUAUGAAAAACAGAAGCAAUAGAAAGAUUUAUUGGUCAGGGAAUUAGGAGUUCUGAAUUCUACUAAAUAGCAGUGGGUCUAAGUAAAUCCUGCUCUCCUGUAAUCUUAAUGAAGAUGCUACAGUAAGCCCAGCCGGAGACUCCAAGUCCUGAACCCAGGCACUGGAAUAGGCUGUGUCAUCCCAACCAGGGGCUCAUCUGCUCGGUCAGAUACCGACUCUUCACUCUCAUUUUUGAAGGACUUGUCGGGGGAUACAGAAUUCCAGGUGGAAGCUUCUCACUGGUGGUCUGCUAAGUACAACCUGAAUGCCUGCAUGCAUGAACCCAUCUCUCCACCUCUGCUGGGAUCAGAUGCACCAUCAAACAGUUCCUAAUCAUCUGGAAACCAGGAGAGAAAUCACUCCUUGAGAGCACCUGCUGUUUUCCCCACACAUUUGUGUUAAGUACAUGUUCAUCAUCUGUGCACCUGUGACACCUACUCCUGCUUCCUUGUCCUGAGUCUUAUUCAGCCAUUAUGAAAAAUUAUCAAUUAGUCCCUCAAGGGGUGCUGACAUAGUCUGAAGAGGAAAGCCUCUAUGAAAGAAAACUGCCCAGAGGAAGAGAAGACAAGUGAAUUUGAAUUAACCAGACAAUAGCAGAGGUAGACAGAAGAAGUUCAAGGUUUGGAAGUCUUUACAAAAUCAAAGUAGACUAUUUCUAAUGAAUAAUUUUAUCUAGUGUU
Non-coding RNA from Oryctolagus cuniculus (rabbit), 846 nucleotides. The record is from RefSeq and is a predicted model, not a curated record. Lineage: Eukaryota; Metazoa; Chordata; Mammalia; Lagomorpha; Leporidae.